UAGGGAAUCUUCGGCAAUGGGGGGAACCCUGACCGAGCAACGCCGCGUGAGUGAAGAAGGUUUUCGGAUCGUAAAGCUCUGUUGUUAAGGAAGAACGAGUGUGAGAAAGGAAAGUUCAUGCUGUGACGGUACUUAACCAGAAAGGGACGGCUAACUACGUGCCAGCAGCCGCGGUAAUACGUAGGUCCCGAGCGUUGUCCGGAUUUAUUGGGCGUAAAGCGAGCGCAGGCGGUUAGAAAAGUCUGAAGUGAAAGGCAGUGGCUCAACCAUUGUAGGCUUUGGAAACUGUUUAACUUGAGUGCAGAAGGGGAGAGUGGAAUUCCAUGUGUAGCGGUGAAAUGCGUAGAUAUAUGGAGGAACACCGGUGGCGAAAGCGGCUCUCUGGUCUGUAACUGACGCUGAGGCUCGAAAGCGUGGGGAGCGAACAGG
RNAcentral lists this ribosomal RNA (429 nucleotides) under Bacteroidota bacterium. RNAcentral describes it as "Bacteroidetes bacterium partial 16S ribosomal RNA". It matches the Rfam family "Bacterial small subunit ribosomal RNA", at positions 355 to 776 of the family's 1533-position model. The record is from RNAcentral. Lineage: Bacteria; Pseudomonadati; Bacteroidota.